Molecule: long non-coding RNA, 617 nt
Organism: Prinia subflava (tawny-flanked prinia)
Lineage: Eukaryota; Metazoa; Chordata; Aves; Passeriformes; Cisticolidae
Exons: 3
Source: RefSeq, a predicted model, not a curated record
CUGCAGCCGGGGCCAGGCUGGGCUGGGAGAUGGAGCAGGAGAGAGGGGGAAAGGGGCACUGACUUCCUCCUCACCUGCCUGCGGCUCCCGGGACAUCUUCCUCUUCCUUGUGGCCUCCUCUUCCUCCAUCGGGCCGAGGGAACUCCAUAACUGGGGUGAUGCUGCUGCCCCUAGGGAGCUGCUGGGCCCCCUCCUGGCUAGGCGAGAUGUAGCCCUGACACCCCAGAAUACCCUCUGCUGUGACCAGGAAGGAUGCAUAUGCAUUUGUAUAUGCAAAUAAAACCGACCCUGUGAAUCCUGGGAGGGUUCUUUGAGAGGAACAGCACCCCAAGAUGGGAAGCUGCACGCAUCGGAGGGGAAGUCGAUGGUGCCCUGGCCCAGGAAGGAGUGGACGCACUCCCUGGCCUGGUUUAAAGACUCGCCAUAAUUUAUUAAGAGUCUGACUGGAAUGGGAUUGGGCCAGCUCAAGUGCCUGAGACAGAAACUCUCAAGGUUUUUCUAUGAGGAUAAAGAGCUGAUGUCUGCUUUGCACUUCAACAACAAACCAGCAUCACUCUGCAUCCUCAGGGUUGACCAGAGAGAGUUUCGAGCUGUUCCUAUAGGAACAAGGACUCAGC